CCGGCCAAACCUAAGCCCGCUUGCUGACGACUGUGCUAAUUUACACACUGAAUUCUAUGUAAAGAACGUGGAUGUCUAGGCUCCAAAGGGGAAAAAUACCACUUGGGAUAUGAAAUCCCGCCCCUGUGCACACUUCUCCAUUCAGAGCUGGGGUCUCCGGGCUCCUCAGAGGCCAGGGAGUGGACAUUUGUGUCCGCGGGCUCAGCGUGACUUCUCCGUUUGAAGGAGGAAGGCGACGUCCUUGCUGGGUGUGCCGUGUCCCCACACGGCUGCCGCAGCCUGCUUUGUACGCAGCAGGCCCUUCCGGAUGUGGGAGCAAAGCAGACUCUCUCAGGCUUCUGCAUGCUAGUGCAGAGCCCUGCCCAGCCCGCGUGCAGCCAGUGACGGCGUCCGGAGACCAAGAGCUGAAGCGGGUGUGCCGGCACACACUUAUAAUCCUGGUGCUUAGGGAGGCUGAGGCAGGAGGACUGCAAGCUUGAGCCCAGCCUGGACAGCUUAGUGCCUUAGCAAAACCUUGUCUCAUGAUAAAAAGCACAAAGACUUGGGGCUGUAGCCCAGUGGUACAGGACCCCGGCUUCAAUUCCUGGUGCUUUCUAAAGUAAAAUAACAAAAUAAAACCUCGGACGCUUUUACAAAGACAAAAACCAAGCUGACAUGUUUUAUUCACUUCUCACCCGCAUCGUUGGGCGACUCAGCCCUGGACCCGCUGACCGGCCGUGCUGGACCUAACCCGUCAGUGCCAGCUCCCCUCCUCUGUCCCUGGGGGCCUGCCUGGGAGCUGUGUCUCACCACUGAUGGUGGGCUGUUUGCUUUCUAACUCGGACUUCCGAGAGGCAGGCUGACCCCUUCUGGAGAAGCCUCCAUGGGCAGCACCUCUAGGGCUUGGUGGCCGCAGGCAGAGCUCAGGGACUGGCCAUGCUGGCCUCUGUGAAGCGCCCUCUGGGGGCCAGGUGCCAUCCAGGUGUAGCCUCAAGUCAUCUGCAGUUCCUGGGGACCACAGCCCCCAUCCUAGCAGAGCUCUUAACCCUGUGCAUGCCGCCUAGAGGGACAGGGUCCUCCAGGAAGGUCAGGAAGUGGACGGCUUGGGGUCCAGCACCAGGCCUGCAAUUCCCAGUGACUGACGCUCUGGUCGCUCUGCUUCCCAGGUGAGUCUGCAUGAAACAGCAGGGAACUUGUGAGGUCCUUGUCAGGCUGGGGGACCCUACAGACCCGGCGGGCGCGGGUGGACCUUGGUGGGAGCUGCAGGUGGGUGGGCGCCCUGUGUGUCGCCACCCCUCCCCCGGCCCCCGGCCUGCAGCUGGAGGCCCCAGAGCUGCUGCAAUCAAUCAGCAGCCACCAAGGAGCCUGCGCUGCACCACUCCCGGCCGCAACCUUACACCUCUGGCAUCAAAGGAUGGGCCCAGGCCGGAAGGAGGCCGCCCGCCCGUAUCUGCAGGACCCCAUGCAGCCUGCCUGGGACUCAGGAUGGGGCGGUGGCAGGGCGGAGGGGACACACGCCAGGGAGGCUCCAGAGGGCGGGCCCUUUGUGGAGGGAGAUCUGGAGAGGGAGAGUGGUGGCACCAGGACGGAAGAUGGAUGGGUCUGCCGGGCUCCGGGCUCCAGGGCAGGUGUGACUGUCCCUGUGCCAUUUGGUUCCUCUCUUCUGCUGCAGAUAGUGCUGGCUCCUGCUGUCUCCCUAGGCGUCUGCCUGGGUGUCCUUUACUGUCCCCAGCCCUAGAGAGCGCUUACAGCAAAGGCUGCCUGCCCGCAGCCUGGAGGUUCAGCUAUCUGAGGUCCCAUUUCACACAGUCUCCCUUAGCUCUGGCCAUGCAGAGACCUCUCUCCAAGCUGGCUGCUCUGUCCGACUUCCUGUACAGGCGAGCACAGAUGACCUGGACCCAAGCAUCGGGACUCUGAUUUUAGACUGACAGUGCGUAGUUCAUAAUGAAAGAGAAACUCCUGAGAUGCCUGCGCCUGCCCUGUCCCUGGCCACUCAGGUCUGGAGGACCAGUGGACAGCCCUGGUUACUGGGCACAUGCACAGUAAGAUUGGGACCCCUGCUCCCCAUCUCCUCCACACGUGGCUUCUCUUAUUCGGUAAACGCAGAGGGCAGAACGGAAGACCAAACCUAAAAACCCAGAGAGGCCGAGACACGGCCUGGCUGCCUCCUCUGCAGGAGAGCUGACCUUCAUGGGGCUAAGCAGGUGGCUUCCUGGCUCCGUCCCCUGCGUGACCACAGCCCUCAGGGUCAGGCGGUGAUUUUGUGCCCAUUGCUGAUGGCCUGCCCAGAAGCACACAGCUGGAGAGCACCAGGAUGGGCUCAGCAUUGGCCCCGACGUAGAAGUGGGUAGGAGAGUGACAGGGGCUCUCGUGUCCCCCUCACUGAAUUUGCCCCUGGUGACACUGUGCAUGGCUGUGGCAUGACAUAAGACCAUGGCACUGAUGGGAAACUCGUCUCCAGAGCCAGCCUCCGCUCCCCCGGCUUGCUAAUUUCCUCAGGGAGGCGGCACCUGGGUGCCACAUCACGAAUUGCUGUGUGCUCACCCCAGGGUGUCCGUCCCAUAAGGUGGCUGGCUCGGUGGCGGGGCUCAGGGCUGCACCCCCAGCGUCUGAUGUGGGCAGUGCUUCCCCACAGAGCCCACCUUCCUGAGCUCCAGCUGCAGGGCUGCAGUGGGGACGAGGCGACACAAGGUGACAGGUGUCCAGCAUCCUGUCCGGGCCAAGCAAUUAGGUUGAGCUCAGCUCCUGCUGGCUUCUAGUCUUGGCUUCUGCUCUUGGGGUCCCUGGGCUCCCUCUGCCCCUUCGCCGUGGCCUGCGACUUUUCAGUGGUUAAGAAUGUCCCGGCUAACAGGAGAUUGCACAACAAUCUGCAUCACUUAACUUAGAGGCCGGGUUUCUGAGGCUGGUGUAGGUCUGAGCAGGGGCAUGAAGUCCUUGCUAAUUCUGCUGACUUGAAAUAACAAACAGCUUAACACCUCUAUUGUUCUGGGACCUGAUGAAAACCACGCCGCCUGCUGCCGCCGCCCGCUGCUGCUGCUGCGGAAUAGGAAUGGAGGGCUGGGGAGCAGGGCGGCCAGGCCAGGUGCCUGGGCUGUCUGCUGUCGGCACAGGACAUCCCAGCUCCCUGCGCUGGCUGUCAGCGAGACUGUUAGCUCUCUUUCCCUUCUCCUUGCCCCCUCCAAUCACAUGAAAGAUAAAGGUCCUUCUGGGGCUGUCCCGUCUUGACACCUUUCUAGCAAGCCAGGCCCUGGGAGUCAGGCUACAGUGACACUGGAAGCCAAUAACAUGCUUUUGUUUUCCUCGAGUUUAUUUCUGCCCAGCGAGUCUUCUGCCUUUGUAAGGGCCAUCAAAGUUCUCCUGCGUAACACUGAAUUAAAGCAAUCAAAGGGAUCAAGCCAUCGGUGGAUAAUCCCCGGAAAGCAGAUAUCUAUGCCAGGAAUCUGAUGAUUUUGACAGUGUGGGAGUGGCAGGGGUGAUGGAAACUCAGGCCUGGAGACCCCUCGUUGCACAGCGAGUGGAAUGCUUCUGCUGCUUUGCAUAUAAUUUGAGAACAUACACACUUUCAAACUAAAAACCUGGCAUCCUAUCGUGGACACAGGGAGGCAAAAUCCAGACAAACAGAAGGCGAUUGUGCCGGAGGACAGCACCCAGGGCGAGAGCUCCCAGUGGAGGGCUCGGAACCGUUCUUGAAGCCAGCGAUGCUGGGCACUGAGCUGUGCUGAAAUUUCCCUCCAUAAAUAACGGCAGAUGCAAACCCUUCCACGGAAACCGUGUGAACGAGGCUGUUUAUUUCCUUCGGAGGAGAGGACGUGCGUGCCGUGAGCUGCUUGACAGCAGAGUGGGUGCUGGCGCUGAGCAGCUGCCCUGAGCCGUAGCCUCUGCGUCGUCCCUGAAGCAAGCCUGCAGCCCGUGGUCACUCUGCCGCUCGCCUCCCAGCCUCGGGACCACCUGUCCUCUUCCUUGCUGUGGAAAGGCCUGCUCUGGACAUUUUACACAAGCGCAGUUACGUAACGCAGAAUCUUUUUUGUGGCUCCUUCACUUCCCCGGUGUUUGAAAGCCUCCUUCACGCUGUGUGCACCCAGAAUUCCCUUCUGACUCUGCCAUCGUGUGACCCCUCCGGGUCUGUCCAUCCGCCCAGAGUGGGUUCCUGCUGGCUGCUGCCACUGGGCUGCUGGUCCAGGUGGUGCUGGGAAUAUUUGUGUCCACACCUUUGCUGAGUGCUGUUUUCUGUCCUGGGAAUUCGGCGGGAUUUCUGGUUCCUGCUGGGUGCAGUGAUCUGAAGAGGGGCUGGGGUGCAUGGGUCCCACUCCUGCCUGGGAGCAGGGGUGUCCGCUCCUUAGCUGAGAAGCUAUCCUGCCUUCUUCCCCUCCCCUCCCCUCCCCUCCCCUCCCCUCCCCUCCCUUUCCCUCCCCUCCCUUCCCUUCUUUUUUCCUUUCUUCCUAAGUACCAGGUGUUGAACUCAGGGCCUUUGCACUGAGCUACACCUCCAGCCCUUCUGCAUGUUUUUAAAAUUUUGAGACAGCAUCUCACUAAGUUACUGAGUUGCCUGCGCUGGGCCCAAACAAUCAACCCUCCUGCUUCAGCCUCCCAGUGUUGGGAUUACAAGUGGCUUCACUACCCAAGGCACUGCUUCUCCGCCAGCUGACACAGUGUAGAGGCCUGCCAUGCAGCUCCCUGGUCACCAGCUGCCGGGCUGCAGUCCCCUUCCAGCUCGGAGGCCACUGUGCCUGGGGUCUCCUACCUGUUUCCUGACUGGGUGAAUCUCAGCCGAGGGGCUGCCCUGAGCACCAUGCCAGGCAUACGGUGGGCCCCUGGCAAAGCGUAGCUAGAGGUCCCACCCAGAGCACACACAGGGUGCCACGUGGGGCCACCCUGGCCUGAGUCCCCUGCCCCACAGGUUGGUCCACAGCUAACUUAAAGUGUGCCAUUGACACUGUGUGGACUGAGCAGAGCACAGAGUAAUCGAAUAUGCUUCUCAUUCCUAAGCAAAUGCCCCAAAGCGGGGACCUAGGGACUCAGCCGGGUUGGCCCUCUGGGCUGCCUUUUUUGGGGCAGCCCCACCCCACCCGAAGACUGUCCAGGAAGAAGUGGCUGUGGCGGCCACCUCAGUGCACAGGCUGGCUCUGUAUACAUCCCUUCAAGGGCUAAAUAAAUGCAGUAAUUUACUGAGAAAAGGCCUUUCAGGGCCACCUCUGGCUCUGAGGUCUCAGGACUUAUGGGACAAAGCCAGCAUCCAUCUUCCGAAGUGACAUGUUCCUGUCAACAGAGGCCUAAUGGAAACAGCUCCGCGGGAGCAGAGAGGCAGCCUCCUCUUUCCUGGCCCUAAUCUCCUGGGCAGGCGGGACCAGCGAGGGUGGUGGGGUGGGGCCUGGAGGACCCGGACUCAGGACAGGAGGGCUGCGGGGUGGGAGGAAGCCGCUUCCCUCUUCCCAGUUGUCCUGGUCUUGUGGGAUCAGAGCCAGGCGGCCCUUGGAGUCCAGACUCCUGCAAGGCUCCAAAGCUGGGUGCACUUCAAAGCCCGGCAGCCUGGCUGGAAUGCAAGGGGCCCCAGCUGCCAUCAGGCGGGUGGACGGGCUCUCUGAGGACCACAGGCUGGCUCUCCAGAGGUCUGCUGCUCCAAGCAGGGCUCCCAGAGACUGGGGUGAGUCUGCAGUCUCUCCCAUAAAAUGCAAAUGAGAGCCUUUUAACCUCCCAGGGUUGUGAGAUCAAAGGCAGCAAGGAAAGCCAGUGCUCCAUGGAAGGCGUAAAUCAUCCUGUGUAUGUUAAAAAAAAAAAAAAGGGUUAGAUCAGGGUGUCCAGCAAAUGUAAGUCAAGACACUUGCGUCAUUCCCAAUUUUCCAGCAACCAUGUCCCAGAAAGAAGCUGGUAGACAGGUAGUUUUCAAAGUACUUUACCCAACGCAUCCAAAUUAACCUAAAAAGCAGCUGCCUGGUCAGGCAGGUAUUUUACAUUUUCAGCCCAUCUCAGUUGCCUGCUCAGGUGCCACGUGUGGCCAUCUUACAUGCUGUGGUUUGGGGGCGGGACUUCCUGUGCGCAGGAUGUCUGGUGGGCGGGACUUUCUGUGCGCAGGACGUCUGGUGGGCGGGACUUCCUGUUGGGGUUUUUGGGGUGCCAGAGUUGGAACGUGGAGCCGCACGGUCCCCGGCCAGGGUCCUACUAAGGCAUUGGUUGGGCUGCGGGCUCAGCGAGAAGUGCCAGUGUAGCUGCCCUACUGCGUGGCCCUGUGCGAUGAGACGGUGUGUCAGACCAAAGAGCAAUUAUGUAAUUAAUUCCAUCUUUCCUAAUUCCUGCUCUUUAGCAUUUGGGAUAUUUGGAGCAAGGUUAAUUUUAUUUAGUUUUUAUUUUUUUAAAGAGAAAAAAGAAAACACAGAUACAUCAAGAAGCAAACACACCUAAAAACAAACAAAAGCAAAAUGGCAAUGGAAAGCCACAGCUACAUAGAGGCUCUAAAUAAGCCGACAGGGACUUAACGAUGCUUGUCAUACUGCACACUGCUGUCUUCAAAGUAGGUUGCUCAGGCCGCUGGACACAGGCGCAAAGCUAAGCAGUGAAACAGAGCAGCCCAGUGAGUGGACUUCAGCCACAGACAGGAGGAAUCCUGCACAGCUGGCACGGUGUACACUGCAUCCUGCAGGCAGAAGCCAGACCAGCUGACCCUGCAGGCCAGCGCAGUAGAGUGUGAGCUGUUCCUUUCACCCCCGCUGCUAGCACAUCACCCAGAGUCCCCAGAACCCCCAGUUGCUUACUGCGGCCUGGGGCAGGGGUGUAGAUGAUGUGCCUCUGAUUGCCCAGCCUCCUACCCGCUGGCUCACGGGAAGGUGUGCUUUGUCUUCUUGCUGAGUCCCUUACGGACCCGCGUGGCCGAGCCUGCUUCACAGGAAGGCGUCAUGAGGUUAAUCUUACAAUCUAGUUGUUUGUAGGUGAGAAAUUUUAGCAAUAGGGGUGCCCAUGGUGGAGUCACUCAGAGACACAGAUGAACUUGGGACACCAGAGCAGGAGGUGGGGGGAGCCGCUGUGUGGCAGAGAGAUUGUGGGGACCUGGUGACCGGUAACUGACACAGCCUGUGAGGGCGUGUGAGGGGCGGCCAGCCUGCGGGGUGUGCAGGGGAAUUGUGCCCUAAAACGCCAGUCGGGGAGUCCGGGGCUCCAUACCAGUAUCCUAGGAGUGUGGGCAUUUUCUGCCUCUUUUUGUUUAUCUGCAUUUAAAAAUUUUCUCAUAAUAAACAUGUGUUAGUUAAGGAAUUAAAACUUUUAAAAGAUA
Molecule: long non-coding RNA, 7240 nt
Organism: Cavia porcellus (domestic guinea pig)
Lineage: Eukaryota; Metazoa; Chordata; Mammalia; Rodentia; Caviidae
Exons: 3
Source: RefSeq, a predicted model, not a curated record